GUACUAGCAGCAGCAGUUGCAGUUGCAAUUCGGCCUCAGCGUCAGUCGGCACUCAAAAGCGUAAUUUAAAAUUCUCUUGGCUACCAUUUUUCGAGACCCUUUCUUCGCUUUGUGUCGGUGAUAUGGCUGGUUGGAGUGGAGGCUGCCAGUUUUCCACGCAUCGCGACUGCCUGACUGACUGGCUCACGGCACGGUCCCCGGCACACGGUGCGUAUGAGUUAUGCAGCGACUGCAUGGAGCAGCCAGCAGGAGCAGCAGCACCACCAGCACCACCCGGCCAAAUGAAGUUAAUAUAAAUUUUGCUUUACAACGGCGCUGGGCGAACGUGUGCGGCUCUGGCCGUUUAUACUGCAAAGUGGCAGCUAAUGCGUGAUUUUCGGAGCCAACACGAGCACGUAACUGGCGUAAGUGCUGCUCAAUGGAAUCCUAGUAGCCCCCAAUAAUAGUUGCCAGCUUGGAGAUCGAAACAUGAUCAUCAAGGCUUUAUGAAUGUAUCUUUAGAGCCUAAAGAGCAUAGAUAGUGAAAUUAUUUGAGUUAUAUUAUAUAUUCUAACUAAGCAGUCGUGGGCAUAAUUACUUUGAUAGUGCUCUUCCCAAUGUUUUUGCAAAAGUAGUAAAGACAAGUUAAGCACAAAUGAAAUGCAAUUAAUAUGCUAGAACAUUUCAGUACUUGGUGAAAUCUCUAAGAUCCCUGAUAAGCAGUCAAUCCACAUUAAUCCUACUCCUGGCAGAGCUCCAUGAUUUUAUUACUGCAGCAACUACCCAGCUGAGAUCAUAAAAGUGAAAAUUCUCAUUACCCAGCGGAGGUCCAGAGGAUGAUGAAAGCGAUUUCGGCUGGUUACUGGCUUCUGGCCGCCUGCACAUGACACAUUAUCCACAAUUAAACAUGCAAUAAAUUUACCUUAAACACGCAUAAAUUUAUAAUGUAAGGACAGGGUUUUUUUAUGCCAGCGUUCGUACUCUUUUUUGUCAAUAUUUUUUUGCCGUUUGUAGUUCAUUAAAAAA
Drosophila sechellia is the source of this 1005-nucleotide long non-coding RNA. RefSeq lists it as uncharacterized. Lineage: Eukaryota; Metazoa; Arthropoda; Insecta; Diptera; Drosophilidae. The transcript has 2 exons. The record is from RefSeq and is a predicted model, not a curated record.